CCAUAAGCCCUGUACCUCGCAUAUGCCACUCUUGCGACAAAACCGAAUCAGGUGGAAUGACUCGUAUAUGCAAAGUUGCAUAUGCGAGGCGCUCUUAUACGAGGUUUAACUGUAUUCCCAAAGGAGAAGAAGGAUGAAAUACCAAGUUCCACCCAAGGGAACAUAAAGAGAGAAACGGAACUUCCAAUUCCUAGGGAGUUGUUCACUGUUCUGGGUGAAUGAAAAGGAGGAGGAGGACGGAAUAAUAUACUCCCGGCGGCGUUUCUGAUCCGACAGAAGUUGUUAUCAAUGGAACUGGUAACCAACAAUAUUCCAAUCGAAUCCUACUGCUGACAACCCAGCGUUUCCGUGUUGUCCCACGGAACGAAAGCUGUAACGAUCGCA
Culex quinquefasciatus (southern house mosquito) is the source of this 384-nucleotide long non-coding RNA. RefSeq lists it as uncharacterized. The record is from RefSeq and is a predicted model, not a curated record. The transcript has 2 exons. NCBI's taxonomy places the organism in Eukaryota, Metazoa, Arthropoda, Insecta, Diptera, Culicidae.